AUCGUUCAAGAGGAGGGACUCAGCCUUCCAAGCUGAUGAUCUCGGUUCGAGUCCGAGUGUCUGCUCCA
This 68-nucleotide transfer RNA is filed under the name Novosphingobium chloroacetimidivorans. RNAcentral's name for it is "tRNA-Gly". It matches the Rfam family "tRNA". From Rfam's summary of the family: Transfer RNA (tRNA) molecules are approximately 80 nucleotides in length. Their secondary structure includes four short double-helical elements and three loops (D, anti-codon, and T loops). Lineage: Bacteria; Pseudomonadati; Pseudomonadota; Alphaproteobacteria; Sphingomonadales; Sphingomonadaceae. The record is from RNAcentral.